AUAAUAAUUAGGUUUUUAAUUGAAAUCUAGAAUGAAUGAUUGGACGAGAUACAGGCUGUUUUAUAAUAAUUAAUUAAAACUUAAUUUUUUAGUCAAAAAGCUAAAAUUUUAUUAAAAGACGAGAAGACCCUAUAAAUCUUUAUAAUAAAUUUAUUUUAAUGAAUUAUUUUAUUUAAAUUAAUAGUUUUAAUAAUAAAUUAUUUUAUUGGGGUGAUACAAAAAUUUAAUUAACUUUUUUAUUUAUAUUACUUAAAUUAAAGAUUUAUAAAAAUUUGAUCUACUAUUAGUAAUUCAGAGAAUAAGAUACUUUAGGGAUAACAGCGUAAUUUUAAUUUUAAGUUCUCAUUAAAAUUAAAGAUUGC
RNAcentral lists this ribosomal RNA (362 nucleotides) under Ecclisopteryx dalecarlica. Its description in RNAcentral is "partial 16S ribosomal RNA". The record is from RNAcentral. Lineage: Eukaryota; Metazoa; Arthropoda; Insecta; Trichoptera; Limnephilidae.